UCGGCGGCGCCCCCUGCCGGCAGGAGCGCGCGGUCCUCCCGCCUGGAGCGCGGCCGCCUCGCGAGGGGCGACGGUGUGAGGACCUUGCCGGCGCCGGUGCCCCGCACCCGGCCCUGUUCGACCCGGGUAGGAGGACCCCGAGAGCCCCGGUGUGGAAAAUGAGGUGGGCAGGGACUCAGCUGUCCUCAAACCGCCCCCAGUGAGCCAAAGCUCCUGGUGAGGUUAUGAGGGAAUUCAGGAUGGCAGUUUCAGUGCCUUAUCCGAGCACGUGUAUUGGAAAAGGACUAGAGAAAUGAUGACAGCAGAUUCAGAAAGGAAAUCUCUCGUCUUGGCAAAAUUUCCGACUUCCAGAAGUAUGCGUCCAUUAGAGAACAGAGGGUGAUUCCUGCCAUGCACACUGGUAUGUUGCACUGUUUUAGUUCCUGUUCAGCUGUCUGGCACUAUAGAGAUGGUAUCUAUCACACUGAAGCCUGCAAUAAUAGAACAAGCCAGCAAACUGUUGGUGAUGCCUUUUAGUUCUUAGAACAAAUUUGAAGAUAAAAUCUUGAAAAAAACUAUUUUUGUCAAUGGCAUAUUUUCAUAGCAGAAAACCGAAAUGUAAAACUAAUAAUUGAAAACCAAACACGUGUUUGCUCACACACUCACUCUCUCAUAUGAAGUGUUGGAUUUCAGGACGAGAGUUUCCAGUUAUGAUUCUGACCCUUCUACAUUUGGUUACUCCUAGAUCACGUUGGCACCAACUACUAAAAUGGACCUGAGCUUUAGGGAACAAAGUUAAUUCCAAACCUUAAUCUCUGUGGCAGAAAUUGAAUGCAAACAUGGUUUAAUUUACUCCAUUAAAGCGUGGUACAAUCACUAACAAAUAUCUGCUCCAAAUAUCUGCUUGAAAAGCUGUGCUGGGGAAUUCAAUGCCUGCCCAGUUUCAUGACAGCACACUGACCCCAGAACACACUGACUCCAUCCGCACUGUGCAGUUGGGAGCUGGCAUGGGCUAGCUAAGUGGGGAGGAGGAGAGCUGGAACAGUUGAGUAUAUGAAAUUUGUUUUGAAAGAUCAGCUGUUUGGGCCUCCUGUUCAAUUGGUUUCGUGUGCCAGGCAUCCUCUUGAAUUUUUUUUUUAGCUUUUAAGAGCAUCUGAAAGGCUUGUAAUAGUUUCAGAUUUUUCCUG
This is a non-coding RNA of Phasianus colchicus (ring-necked pheasant), 1166 nucleotides long. Lineage: Eukaryota; Metazoa; Chordata; Aves; Galliformes; Phasianidae. The record is from RefSeq and is a predicted model, not a curated record.